AUUUAAUUCAACAUCGAGGUCAUAAACUUAAUUCUUAAUAAGAACUCUUAAAUUAAAUUAUGCUGUUAUCCCUAGAGUAACUAAAAACUUUUCAUAAUAAAAAUAAAAAUUUCUAUCUUCAUCUAAUUGCCCCAAUUAAAAAAUUCUCAUUUUAUAAAGCUUCUAGGGUCUUCUCGUCCCAAAGAAUAAUAAUAGCUUUUUUACUAUUAAAUUAAAUUCAAGUUUAUAAAAUAAAACAAUCCUCUUAGAUUCUACCUUUCAUUCCAGUCCUCAAUUAAAGAA
RNAcentral lists this ribosomal RNA (282 nucleotides) under Taito sp. MZSP 73105. RNAcentral describes it as "partial large subunit ribosomal RNA". Lineage: Eukaryota; Metazoa; Arthropoda; Arachnida; Opiliones; Cosmetidae. The record is from RNAcentral.